RNAcentral lists this ribosomal RNA (303 nucleotides) under Amoebophrya sp. Its description in RNAcentral is "SSU rRNA". It matches the Rfam family "Eukaryotic small subunit ribosomal RNA", at positions 595 to 906 of the family's 1831-position model. The record is from RNAcentral. Lineage: Eukaryota; Dinophyceae; Syndiniales; Amoebophryaceae.
UAGCGUAUAUUAAAGUUGUUGCGGUUAAAAAGCUCGUAGUUGGAUUUCUGCUGAGAACGGUCGGUCCACUCUUGGAGUGUGUAUCUGAUUCGGUCUUGGCAUCCUCUCGGAAACGGGUGCGCUUCAUUGCGUGGUCGGUGUCCGAGACUUUUACUUUGAGGAAAUUAGAGUGUUCACGGCAGGCUUUCGCCUUGAAUAUAUUAGCAUGGAAUAAUAAUAUAGGAUCUUGGUUCUAUUUUGUUGGUUUCUAGAGCUAAGAUAAUGAUUAAUAGGGACAAUUGGGGGCAUUCGUAUUAACGCGUC